This 330-nucleotide ribosomal RNA is filed under the name uncultured eukaryote. RNAcentral describes it as "partial 18S ribosomal RNA". It matches the Rfam family "Eukaryotic small subunit ribosomal RNA", at positions 1470 to 1796 of the family's 1831-position model. The record is from RNAcentral.
CCCUUAGACGUUCUGGGCCGCACGCGCGCUACACUGACCAGUGCAACAAGCAUCCGUCCUUGGCCGACAGGCUCGGGCAAUCUUUGAACGCUGGUCGUGAUGGGGAUAGACUUUUGCAAUUUUUGGUCUUCAACGAGGAAUUCCUAGUAAACGCAAGUCAUCAACUUGCAUUGAUUACGUCCCUGCCCUUUGUACACACCGCCCGUCGCACCUACCGAUUGAAUGGUCCGGUGAAAUGUUCGGAUCGCGGCAAAUCGGACGGGUAACCGUCAGGUUCGCUGCGAGAAGUUCAUUAAACCUUAUCAUUUAGAGGAAGGAGAAGUCGUANCA